This 383-nucleotide ribosomal RNA is filed under the name uncultured cyanobacterium. RNAcentral describes it as "partial 16S ribosomal RNA". Lineage: Bacteria; Bacillati; Cyanobacteriota. The record is from RNAcentral.
CUUUCGCUCCCCUGGCUUUCGUCCAUGAGCGUCAGUAAUGGCCCAGCAGAGCGCCUUCGCCACUGGUGUUCUUCCCGAUAUCUACGCAUUUCACCGCUACACCGGGAAUUCCCUCUGCCCCUACCAUACUCAAGCCGAUCAGUUUCCACUGCCAUGAUGGAGUUAAGCUCCACGCUUUAACAGCAGACUUGAAAGGCCGCCUGCGGACGCUUUACGCCCAAUAAUUCCGGAUAACGCUUGCCACUCCCGUAUUACCGCGGCUGCUGGCACGGAAUUAGCCGUGGCUUAUUCCUCAAGUACCGUCAUAUCUUCUUCCUUGAGAAAAGAGGUUUACAGCCCAGAGGCCUUCGUCCCUCACGCGGCGUCGCUCCGUCAGGCUUUCG